GAAAAUGUGCCCGAAAGUUAAGGCUCUCCUUGAUAGGGAGGUUUAUAGAGGUUCAAACCCUCUCAUUUUCU
This 71-nucleotide transfer RNA is filed under the name Hoplobatrachus chinensis x Hoplobatrachus rugulosus. RNAcentral describes it as "tRNA-Ile". It matches the Rfam family "tRNA". Rfam says of the family: Transfer RNA (tRNA) molecules are approximately 80 nucleotides in length. Their secondary structure includes four short double-helical elements and three loops (D, anti-codon, and T loops). Lineage: Eukaryota; Metazoa; Chordata; Amphibia; Anura; Dicroglossidae. The record is from RNAcentral.